Molecule: ribosomal RNA, 253 nt
Filed under: uncultured bacterium
Lineage: Bacteria
Description: partial 16S ribosomal RNA
Rfam family: Bacterial small subunit ribosomal RNA
Source: RNAcentral
UACGUAGGGUGCAGGCGUUAAUCGGAAUCACUGGGCGUAAAGCGCGCGUAGGCGGGUCGUUAAGUCGGGGGUGAAAUCCUGGAGCUCAACUCCAGAACUGCCUUUGAUACUGGCGAUCUUGAGUCCGGGAGAGGUGAGUGGAACUCCGAGUGUAGAGGUGAAAUUCGUAGAUAUUCGGAAGAACACCAGUGGUGAAGGCGGCUCACUGGCCCGGUACUGACGCUGAGGUGCGAAAGCGUGGGGAGCAAACGGG